AUUGAACGCUGGCGGCAUGCUUUACACAUGCAAGUCGAACGGCAGCGCGGGGCAACCUGGCGGCGAGUGGCGAACGGGUGAGUAAUAUAUCGGAACGUACCCAGAAGUGGGGGAUAACGUAGCGAAAGUUACGCUAAUACCGCAUACGAUCUACGUAUGAAAGUAGGGGACCGCAAGGCCUUAUGCUUUUGGAGCGGCCGAUAUCUGAUUAGCUAGUUGGUGAGGUAAAGGCUCACCAAGGCGACGAUCAGUAGCUGGUCUGAGAGGACGACCAGCCACACUGGAACUGAGACACGGUCCAGACUCCUACGGGAGGCAGCAGUGGGGAAUUUUGGACAAUGGGCGCAAGCCUGAUCCAGCAAUGCCGCGUGAGUGAAGAAGGCCUUCGGGUUGUAAAGCUCUUUUGUCAGGGAAGAAACGGUAGAGGCUAAUAUCCUUUGCUAAUGACGGUACCUGAAGAAUAAGCACCGGCUAACUACGUG
This 482-nucleotide ribosomal RNA is filed under the name uncultured bacterium. Its description in RNAcentral is "partial 16S ribosomal RNA". It matches the Rfam family "Bacterial small subunit ribosomal RNA", at positions 30 to 507 of the family's 1533-position model. The record is from RNAcentral.